RNAcentral lists this long non-coding RNA (629 nucleotides) under Mus musculus (house mouse). Its description in RNAcentral is "predicted gene, 16677". Lineage: Eukaryota; Metazoa; Chordata; Mammalia; Rodentia; Muridae. The record is from RNAcentral.
GUCACAGCUCGCGCCGGCGCGCGCACGUAGGAGGCGAGAGCGCGCGCGCUGGGGAGGGUGGGAAAAACGGACCUGCGUGGGGCAGGGCCUACCGGAUGAUUGGCACCGAGUGCUGGGUUAGCCUCCCGACUCCUGCUAGGCUCCCUCGGUGCUGAGUGAACGAGCGCCACGUGGCUCUUGGCCACUUCUGGCUAGCCUGGUUGUCCCCAAGCUGCAAGCUGGGAGCUUUGCAGGAGGACUUACAGUUUUUACCCAGUGUCCUUGUGUUCAAGGGUGACCUAAAGUCCAUUGUCCAGUCCAUCCUGGAGAUACCUGUUCAUGGACCAAGGCUACUAUCACAAAACCACUCAGAACCAUUAUGAACAGCCUGUCUGGCUCCAGUUCUCCAAAUCUAUUUGGAACCAGAGAAUCAAUUUCCUUUUAGUGAUGUGGUUGAAUUACAAUCAGCAUCAAGGAUCCAUCUGAACUGUCAGGUGAAUAUUCCAUACUUUUUCAAAGGAAUGGUGUCUUUGUUCCCCUGAGAAGGGAGUCGGCUAACUAUUGUCACAGGCAGUCUAUUUGUCAUCCCAAAUCUGGAAAUAUCCUUUGUCUCUGUGAUUACCAAUGGAGGAGCUGGGCCACAGCUGUUU